UGGAAAGCCCAACAGAACUCGUGUGAUCUGGGGAAAGGUGACCAGAGCUCAUGGAAACAGUGGAAUGGUCCGUGCUAAGUUCCGCUCUAACCUCCCAGCUAAAGCCAUUGGGCACAGAAUCCGUGUGAUGCUUUACCCAUCAAGGAUCUAAAUGUUAA
Long non-coding RNA from Xenopus laevis (African clawed frog), 158 nucleotides. RefSeq lists it as uncharacterized. The record is from RefSeq and is a predicted model, not a curated record. NCBI's taxonomy places the organism in Eukaryota, Metazoa, Chordata, Amphibia, Anura, Pipidae. The transcript is spliced from 2 exons.